UAAAAGUCGUAACAAGGUUUCCGUAGGUGAACCUGCGGAAGGAUCAUUACCGAGUGCGGGUCCUUUGGGCCCAACCUCCCAUCCGUGUCUAUUGUACCCUGUUGCUUCGGCGGGCCCGCCGCUUGUCGGCCGCCGGGGGGGCGCCUCUGCCCCCCGGGCCCGUGCCCGCCGGAGACCCCAACACGAACACUGUCUGAAAGCGUGCAGUCUGAGUUGAUUGAAUGCAAUCAGUUAAAACUUUCAACAAUGGAUCUCUUGGUUCCGGCAUCGAUGAAGAACGCAGCGAAAUGCGAUAACUAAUGUGAAUUGCAGAAUUCAGUGAAUCAUCGAGUCUUUGAACGCACAUUGCGCCCCCUGGUAUUCCGGGGGGCAUGCCUGUCCGAGCGUCAUUGCUGCCCUCAAGCCCGGCUUGUGUGUUGGGUCGCCGUCCCCCUCUCCGGGGGGACGGGCCCGAAAGGCAGCGGCGGCACCGCGUCCGAUCCUCGAGCGUAUGGGGCUUUGUCACAUGCUCUGUAGGAUUGGCCGGCGCCUGCCGACGUUUUCCAACCAUUCUUUCCAGGUUGACCUCGGAUCAGGUAGGGAUACCCGCUGAACUUAAGCAUAU
Molecule: ribosomal RNA, 604 nt
Filed under: aff. Aspergillus sp.
Lineage: Eukaryota; Fungi; Ascomycota; Eurotiomycetes; Eurotiales; Aspergillaceae
Description: eukaryotic LSU rRNA
Rfam family: 5.8S ribosomal RNA (bases 236-389)
Source: RNAcentral